RNAcentral lists this small nuclear RNA (186 nucleotides) under Cricetulus griseus (Chinese hamster). RNAcentral describes it as "7SK RNA". It matches the Rfam family "7SK RNA", at positions 1 to 187 of the family's 331-position model. From Rfam's summary of the family: 7SK was discovered as an abundant small nuclear RNA in the mid-70s but a possible function has only recently been suggested. Two independent studies have found that 7SK RNA binds the CDK9/cyclin T complex (known as elongation factor P-TEFb). Lineage: Eukaryota; Metazoa; Chordata; Mammalia; Rodentia; Cricetidae. The record is from Rfam by way of RNAcentral.
AGAUGCAGGAGCCACAUGGCUAUGACAUCUGUCACUCGGUUGAUCACCAGGGUUGAUUCAGCUGAUCUGGCUGGCUAGGUGCAUGUCCCCUCCCUCCCUCCCUCAGACUAUGUGUGACCCUCCCAAAGCUGCAAGCUGUUAAUAAUUUCCACAGAACUAUCUAGAAACAUCGUUUGCCUAAGACAG